Molecule: long non-coding RNA, 2037 nt
Filed under: Marmota monax (woodchuck)
Lineage: Eukaryota; Metazoa; Chordata; Mammalia; Rodentia; Sciuridae
Source: RNAcentral
ACUCUCUCUUUAAAAAAAAAAAAAUUCUUUGGGAUAAUAAGCAUCCCAUCACCUCUGGUUCAGUUCUCCCUUUGGUCCUCAGCUUCCUCAUUUCUAAAGUGGGAAUCACAAACAGUUUUGAAUGGAAAACUGGCAUGGAAAUUUGGAUAGAAUGAGGUAAGCAUGUAAAGUACAACCAACUUUGGCGCUUCAGGAUCUGUAGAAUCCUUUGACUGGAUGGGUAACAGGGCCAGUAAACCAAGCCUCUGCUCAGUAAAGGGAUUCCCUGACUCUUAGAACUCUCUAAGGACGUGCCCAGGCUGUGGGUAGGAAGAGAAGUCCUUUGAGUACAGCCUGGUCUCCUCUCUCGUCCCUCCCACCCUGGGACCCAGGCCAAACCUUCACAGUCCACGUGGCAAUAGUUUUCUGAGUGACUCUGAUAAUUGUUGCACCAGUAGUGGCUGUUGAUCUGGAAGAUGCCAUAGUCAGUGCUGCCAUCUGCAUUUUCAUUUAUCUUUGAGACGUUGAACUUGCUUUCCACAAAAGCCAGGCAAAUCCCUUAUGAUGGGGAGAAGAGAAUCAGGAUUUAGGGAGGACCUAGCUGAGUGCGAGAGAGAUGGCAUAGAAAGGAGGAUAAGGAUUCAGAGGAAAGGAACAAGAUCUGGGAGGCUAGAUGGAACUGGAGGGCUGGAAAUGAUCAUGGGCAUCUCAUCUUAUUCUUUGGUCCCUCCAGCCACCAAUCAAUAUAACCAGCCAUUCAUUACCCUACCAUCCACCCAUGCUUUCUGAUUUCUUGAGUAUCUACUGUGUGUCAGGAAAUAUGCAAAGCCUAACAAGGGAAAUUAACUGGGUCAACUAUAGAUGUUGCUUUCAAGGAAAUUUUAGUAUAAGAAUGAUAAUAUGUACCUUAAAAACCACAAAGCAAUGUAAAAGAGAAAGUGUUGCAAGACAGUUGCACAAAUUCCAGACCAAAAGGGAGAUGUCCCUGCCACACAGAGACAUGAAACCUUUGCACCAGCCAUUUCCUGUGUCUGGAAUUGUCUUCCUCUGGCAUUUGGUUGAUCAGAUUUUCCAUUUCAUUAAGCACUGCUCAAUGUCACUUCCUCAGAGAGUCUUUCCUUAAGUUCUCCAUCCAGAACAGUCAGUGUCACCUGUCACACACCCUACUACUUUAUUCUUCUUCAUGCAUUUAUCGCUACCAGAUGUAAUACUGUGGUGUGUGUGUGUGUGUGUGUGUGUGUGUAGGGAAGCGGAUUUGUUUGUAUCCCUAGACUCUGAAACAGUUCUUGAUAUAUAAUAAGUGUUCAAUUAAUAAUUUUUGCAGGAGUGUGAAAUGCUGGGAAAAGCUUCCUGGCUUUGAAAAGAAGAACAGGAGACAAAGAAAGAUGGCUAAAAAGCAUGGCACUUACAGUCAUUCAAGGAGUAACCCUCAUAUACUGAUGUGGAUGUUAAAUACCCCCUUUACUCUUAGUAGAGCUGGAAUUUGAACCAUCGUCUCUUUGGUCCUGAUUCCAACACAUAUUGAUCCCUCAGCACCAGGAGACCUCCCUGUGCUCCAGUGGGGUAGCCGACAUACCCCAGGGUCUGUUACCCACUGGGCUGGCAGGGAGCAGUUGGAGAUGGCACUAGGGGGUUGUGAUUCUCCAGGUGCCUUUGGCAAGACUCCUCAGUUGACCUGAAACCGACGAUUGUGAAGCAGGGCAAUUUCCAGGGUCAGAUGCUGUUGAGAGCCACAGCCAAAGGGGCCCCAGCAAACUUCCAGCUGCCAGCAAACUUCCAGCUGCUGGCUGAUGAUUGGCUCACAGCGGCCCCAGCAACAUCUAGCCGAUUGGCUCCUCUGCGGUGAUGCUCAUUGGGCUGUUCCCCUGCCCUUUCAGACCACGGAGCUGCUCAUUGGGGGACUUUUUUGGCUCCGCCCACGUGACCCAGCCAAUCGGCCUCAAGAGCAGGAGGAUUGUGGGAGGUGGAGAGAAGCUUGUGUGGGAGAGGGAGGCUUGUGGAAAGCCGGUGGUGGCAGUUGAGGCUCUGAGGGUUUUUCCUGAGAGGCUGUUUUGUUUG